RNAcentral lists this unclassified non-coding RNA (194 nucleotides) under uncultured Basidiomycota. RNAcentral describes it as "sequence contains ITS2". Lineage: Eukaryota; Fungi; Basidiomycota. The record is from RNAcentral.
AAACCCUCACCCCUGGGAUGUCAAAAUCUCGGGUGGUGGAUUUGGACCGUGCCGUAGCUGGCUCGUCCGUUGAAAUGCAUUAGCUUGCGCUUGUUAGAGUGCUCGGCAUGGUGUGAUAAUUAUCUGCGCCGUCGCCUUAGGCCUCUUCUGUCUGCGCUGCUUCCAACGGUCCCUUGCGGACAACAAAUUCAAAG